GGUUAAGCGACUAAGCGUACACGGUGGAUGCCUAGGCAAUCAGAGGCGAUGAAGGACGUGCUAAUCUGCGAAAAGCGUCGGUAAGGUGAUAUGAACCGCUAUA
RNAcentral lists this ribosomal RNA (103 nucleotides) under Providencia stuartii. RNAcentral describes it as "partial 23S ribosomal RNA". It matches the Rfam family "Bacterial large subunit ribosomal RNA", at positions 1 to 103 of the family's 2925-position model. The record is from RNAcentral. Lineage: Bacteria; Pseudomonadati; Pseudomonadota; Gammaproteobacteria; Enterobacterales; Morganellaceae.